This 492-nucleotide ribosomal RNA is filed under the name uncultured bacterium. Its description in RNAcentral is "partial 16S ribosomal RNA". It matches the Rfam family "Bacterial small subunit ribosomal RNA", at positions 29 to 507 of the family's 1533-position model. The record is from RNAcentral.
AGUGAACGCUGGCGGUAGGCCCAACACAUGCAAGUCGAACGGCAGCACAGUAAGAGCUUGCUCUUACGGGUGGCGAGUGGCGGACGGGUGAGGAAUACAUCGGAAUCUACUUUUUCGUGGGGGAUAACGUAGGGAAACUUACGCUAAUACCGCAUACGACCUACGGGUGAAAGCAGGGGAUCUUCGGACCUUGCGCGAUUGAAUGAGCCGAUGUCGGAUUAGCUAGUUGGCGGGGUAAAGGCCCACCAAGGCGACGAUCCGUAGCUGGUCUGAGAGGAUGAUCGGCCACACUAGAACUGAAACACGGUCCAGACUCCUACGGGAGGCAGCAGUGGGGAAUAUUGGACAAUGGGCGCAAGCCUGAUCCAGCCAUACCGCGUGGGUGGAGAAGGCCUUCGGGUUGUAAAGCCCUUUUGUUGGGAAAGAAAAGCAGCAGGUUAAUACCCCGCUGUUCUGACAGUACCCAAAGAAUAAGCACCGGCUAACUUCGUG